Molecule: long non-coding RNA, 1319 nt
Organism: Heterocephalus glaber (naked mole-rat)
Lineage: Eukaryota; Metazoa; Chordata; Mammalia; Rodentia; Bathyergidae
Source: RefSeq, a predicted model, not a curated record
GGUCAGCAGCCCGGGCUGGACGCAGAGAGCAGGGCUGGUCCCCACUUGGGCGCCCGCCCGCGCCCACCUGAUCUCCGUGGGGUACAGCUCUCCCGUGAACAGCUGUAGAAGUCAAAAGUCUGAAAUGGGCCUUACUGGACUAACAGAGUUGCUGCUGCUGCACACACUCCAGCGAGGAGCAGCCGGUGGGCCACCUGGGAAGAUUCGGAGAAGCUUACGGAUCUCCCCUGAGGGCAGAGCUGACGACACUUGCUGACAGACUGGAUAAAGACUGAAAACUGAGGAGGGCAGGUGACUUCCAGGUCUUUAGACCAAACCAGGAAGUGGGAAGAGUGGCUUUGAGGGCGUAGUAGGGGCUUCCGCUUUGGAGAUCCCACUGCGCCACCCAGUGCGGGGCAGGGCACUAGCACUUGCGCAGGCCUCGGCUCCCAGGGACUAUUUCUCUUUUUUUACAGGUUUCCUUUUUAACAAAUUUUAAUUGCCAGGCGCGGUGGCGCAUGCCACCACUUGGGAGGCUGAGGCAGGAUGAGUGGAGUUUGAGACCUGCCUGAACUACACAAGGGCACCCUGUCUCAAAAAAAAAAAGCCCAAAACUUUUUUUUGGAAAUAAUUACAGACUUCCAGGAAGUUGUAAAAACAGCAUCGACCCUUGUGGCUUCCCAGUGCCUCCUGCAGGCGCCUGGCUGCAGGUCUCGGCAGGACCAGCUGCAGGGUGCUGGGCCCGACUGCCAUGGCCCCGCCUAGCCUCAGGGCUGCACAAGAGCUGUGUGGUCACUUCUUUUUGUGCACACUAGGUGAGUGCUCUAUCACUGACCUGCACCCCUUGUGGGAUGGUCUUAUCAGAUCACCAUGGGAACUCAGCGUGUGGGAGGGAGGUUGAAUAAGCUCAGACCUUCAGAAGUUGGCUAGCUGGGGGAGCCAGCCAGCAAAGAGGACUGAGGAAAUAGGAAGAUAGGUAGAAACCAGGAGCAGACAUUACGGCUUGUGUCUAGAUGUCUCCCAAAGCCUCGUGUGGUCAUAGGGGCUGGAUCUAGGGUGUGUGAUGCUGGGAUCAAGGAUGUGUGAUCACUAGAUUAGCCCACUGACUGGUUUGGCACAGUUCUAGGUAGGAUUAAGGUUGCCCCACGCUGGCUGUGAGUGCUACCCACCCUAAGGGUGGCUGCCCUAGCCUGGUGCUGCUGCUGCUGUCUUCUGCCUGCCAUGAACUACUUCUCUGGGACGCUCCUUUUCCAGGUCACUCUGCCACCCUGCCUUGGAGCCAGACAACUCUGAACUGGAACCUCCACAAACUGCAAGCUAAAUAAACCUCUCCUCCUUUA